Molecule: ribosomal RNA, 440 nt
Filed under: uncultured bacterium
Lineage: Bacteria
Description: bacterial SSU rRNA
Rfam family: Bacterial small subunit ribosomal RNA
Source: RNAcentral
CCUACGGGUGGCAGCAGUGGGGAAUAUUGCACCAUGGGGGAAACCCUGAUGCAGCAACGCCGCGUGAGCGAAGAAGGCCUUCGGGUCGUAAAGCUCUGUUCUAAGGGAAUAAGGAUGAUGGUACCUUAGGAGGAAGCCCCGGCUAACUAAGGUCCCGCAGCCGCGGUAAUACGUAGGGGGCGAGAGCUAACCGGAAGCACUGGGCGGAAAGGGCGCGUAGGCGGCCGAUAAAGCCUGGGGUGAAAGGCUACCGCUCAACCGUAGUAAGCCUGGGGAACUUAUUGGCUUGGGUGCAGGAGAGGAUGGCGGAAUUCCUUGUGUAGCGGUGGAAUGCGUAGAUAUCAGGAGGAACACCAGUGGCGAAGGCGGCUCUCUGGACUGUAACUGACGCUGAGGCACGAAAGCGUGGGGAGCAAACAGGAUUAGAUACCCCGGUGGUC